Cannabis sativa is the source of this 1992-nucleotide long non-coding RNA. RefSeq lists it as uncharacterized. The record is from RefSeq and is a predicted model, not a curated record. The transcript has 2 exons. NCBI's taxonomy places the organism in Eukaryota, Viridiplantae, Streptophyta, Magnoliopsida, Rosales, Cannabaceae.
UUUAGUGUUUUAUUUUGGUCAAGUUUUUAAUAUUAUCACGGUUUUUAAUAAUUAAUUAAUUUAUUAGUAUUAAACUAGUUCAUAAAAUCACACACAUGGCGUCCUUAUAGAUUAGGGCGUUACACUAUUGGUAAGUACUUUCGAGUUAAAUUUAAAGUCCUUAACGAGCUUCUCUUAGGAAAUAUUGUUAUUUGCUUUGCCCAGCUGAAAAGUCUUCUCUUCCACCUCUUUUUUUUUGCAUCCUCCAAUGUUGACUUCAGUGCCUUGUUGGUUGUUAUGACUUUUAGAGUGGCAAAUUUAGCUCGAGAAUAAGUGUAAGCCAUCUUCAGAUUAAGUUGCACGAUGAAACAAGAUUAAAACAUGCUCGGCCUAAAGCCUCUAUAGAAAAAUAAAUGGAAAAGUACUUACUCGGCAGCCUCUUAAUUCAACCAAUUAGCAGCUCCACAGACAUAUAUCCUAUACCCUAGCCAGUUAAUCGUUUACCUCAUUCUUUAGCUUUGAUCGUCUUGGACUGCAAGCCUGCUGGUCAUGUCAUCCCUUCAUUAUAGUUCCACCAGCUAAGGGCCCUUUUGCCAGAGAAGUCUGAUCAACUCAAACUCAUUACAGUGCUUCCACAUCCAACUGUAGUUUUUUUUUCCCUUUGCAGGCUCUCAUUAGCCAUAGUGUGGUCCCAUCUGAAAGCUUUGGAAGUACAUUAGACGCCUUAUAUAUAGCUCAAGAUGCUUCCUCAAGUAAACCACUUUGAACAUUUAUAUAUAGUAUAAUAUCCCUUCCUUUAUACACAUGUAUAUAUAAUAUUAUAUGUAAGUACUGUAGAAGCAAGAAAAGCAAGAAGCUAGCUAGGGCACGUGGGAAGAAAUGGAAGAAUGGUCAAAAUAGGAAGACUGAACAAAAUUCAUGAUAAAAAGGAAGAAGCUAGAAUAGAGCCAAAAGUGCAAUAAAUGAGUAGAAGGAGACAGUUUCUUCUACCAUCACAAAGCUGGAAUAAGAAUUGAGGUUAGAGAAAGUAGGUCGAGGUCCAGCACCAGGGUCUGGGUUCGUGACUACGACAUGCAUGAUCUAAGUCUAAGGUCUGGGCUCGAGCUAGGCUCAGGGUCCAUGGUCCGGGUCUAGAUUCAGGGUCUGGGUCUGUAGCCGGGGUUAGGGUUAGGAGUUGGAUUUGGGAGGUCCGGGUCUAUGUUCAUAUACAUAUUGCACUUGUCCCCUCUCCACCACACCAUGACCUUUAAAUUUAAGAAGUUGAGCCUUUGACUGGCUGGAGAACCUCUGUUCGAGAGCGCGUCAAAUAGAGUGCGAGGUGGGAAAGCUAGCAACUGAGGAAAGAACACCCUCAGUCAUGGAAGAACGCAAUCCAAGAUAGUAAGAGUUGAUCCUUGCGCUUCCAUUGAUUGUAGGCAGGGUGUUUUCCAUUGACCAAGGUGGACGGUGGAGGAAUUCUGAUCAGCAAGAUCUCAUCAAGAUCAUGACUGAUUACGGUGGGAACCACCUGCGAUUUCUAUGACAAGAAAUUAGUGCGAUCAAGCUUGACCGUUAAAGUAGAGGUAAGAGAGCUGGGGAACAGAUUUCAGGUUGAGUUCAAUGGAAUCGACAUUGUUGCAGUAGCCUAAAGAAGAACUGCUUGAGUGGACGGAGCUUUGGUCGGAUCGGUGGAAGAAAAUUCCAUUAACAAUGUAAGUCAAGAGAAUAUGAUACCAUGUAGAGAUUCAGAGUGUGAAUUUAGAGAGAAUAUGAUACCAUGUAGAGAUUCAGAGUAUGAAUUUUAGAAAAGAGAAAAAUUUAGAGAGAAUUUUAGCAUAAAUCAAAGCUCAAACUUUAUUGAAUGAACACGUUAUGUUAUUUCAACCAAUACACAUAACAAAAAAUUAAGAAAGCAAACAGAAUUCUAUUACAAUGUAAACAAAAAUAGUUAAAGAAAGUUGUUUUAACUUAUUUCAAUAACUCUAUUUGUAAUGACAAAUAUUUUUAUGUUAUGUCAAUUAAUGUCCAGGUAAA